GUAAAAAUUUUCUUCUGUUCCAUUAAGAUGAUAUUUAAUGUAAAUCCAAGCAGUAUUUCUCCUGACUCAGUGUCCCACGUUGCCUUCAGUGUGUUGAGAGCAGAGAAAUCAUUUCCAUAGAGAGGAGGCUUUGCAUGGUCAGCUGAUCCUCCAGUGAACUGAGAAGGUUUAUAGUCCUGUGAGUUCAACACUGCAGGACUCAGAUCUGUCAGUCAACACAGCAGAAAGCACAACCACCAUGACUCUCAUCACCAUCCUCAUCUGGACGCUGGCCUGCUGCUGUUUUACAGGAUGCAGCGGUCAGGUGACUGUGACUCAGCCUCCAGUACUGACAACUACUCCCGGAUCCACUGUCACUAUCACCUGUAAAACCAGCCAAGAUGUUGAUGUAUACUGUGGUUCUGCUGAGUGUCUGCACUGGUAUCAGCAGAAAUCUGGACAGCCUCCAAAGCUCCUAAUAAGUGUUGUAAGUGACCAUGAAUCAGGAACACCAGCUCGGUUUAGUGGCAGUGGAAGCGGCUCUGACUUCACUUUGACCAUCAGUGGAGUUCAGGCUGAAGAUGCAGCAGUUUACUACUGUCAGAGUCUACAUGAAAUAAACAGUGCCUAUGUGUUCACACAGUGAUUUGUAGUCAUACAAAAACCUCCCUCAGUCAGACUGCAGAGACACUGAGCUGUUACAGCAGGAACUGACUGCAGCUGCUGAAGAGGAAGAGACUCUGACACAGACCACUGAACACAGAGCUCACACUAACCUCACCAAGCACCAAAUACAGAUUCACAUAUUUAUUUGUAUAUUCUAUAUUUUGUUCAGCUGAUAUUUUAAAAAUCAAAUACAUAUUACAUGUUGUUUAACACUUUCAAAAAUACAUGAGGUCAAAGCCAACAGAAACUUAUUAUAAAGACUGGAAGCUUGAGGGAAACAGUGGCUGCCCUACGUUGUCACCAUAGAUAUU
Molecule: non-coding RNA, 956 nt
Organism: Lates calcarifer (barramundi perch)
Lineage: Eukaryota; Metazoa; Chordata; Actinopteri; Centropomidae
Source: the annotation of a RefSeq genome assembly